Molecule: non-coding RNA, 152 nt
Filed under: Gorilla gorilla gorilla (western lowland gorilla)
Lineage: Eukaryota; Metazoa; Chordata; Mammalia; Primates; Hominidae
Source: Rfam by way of RNAcentral
GCCAGGUGUGGUGGCGCGUACCUGUAGUCCCAGCUACUCGGGAGGCUGAGGCAGGAUCAUCACUUGUACCCAGGAGGCAGAGGUUGCAGUGAGCCGAGAUCAUGCCACUGCACCCCAGGCAGCCUGGGUGACAGAGUGAGAUUCUGUCUCAA